This 4284-nucleotide long non-coding RNA is filed under the name Triticum aestivum (bread wheat). Its description in RNAcentral is "long non-coding RNA (TAES_LNC024156)". Lineage: Eukaryota; Viridiplantae; Streptophyta; Magnoliopsida; Poales; Poaceae. The record is from RNAcentral.
CCACCUUCGGACGCGUCGGAGCUUGCCGUCGAUCCGCGCCGCCCCGAGCACCUCGAGCCGUCCCCGGGCCUUCUCUGCAACGGCCGUGAGCCCCCGAUCCUCCUCCCUCUCUCCCCGGCCUCUCCUCGUAGCCGUAGCCACGCCGCCACUGCGCCAUGCUCUGCCGUCCGUCGCGGUCGACGCCGUCGUCGGCACCGUCCAUCCUAGCCUCAGCUGAGACCUUGAAUGGGUGCGCCCGAACCCCGGACUAUUGAACGCACCACCCCGCGUGCCUUUUGAGCUCCCGUAGCUCCGUCCCCGACGAGGCUCGAAGCCAACCGCCGCCCACGCUCACCGCCGGCGCUGCUCCGGCCAAGCCACCCCCGCGUCUGCUUCUUCUGACCUUGUCGCGCCGCUCGCUGCUCCCUGCUCCCUACGUGCGUGCGCCCGCAGCCGCCUACUGCCGCACCCUGCUCGCCCGGCCGGCUCCCCGCAUGCAUCGUCCGCCGCGAGCCGCCCGCCUCAUGCCAUGGCUGCCACCGCCUGCUCGCGCCCGCCGCUCCGGCCGCCCGCUGUGCCGCGUUGCCGCGCCCUGCCCUCCGCGUGCCACGGCUUGUUGCCUGCGUAGCUCCUGCUGCCGCUGCUCAUAGUGGCCGCCGCCUUCUACCCGCGUAGGUGCUGCUGCCGCUGCUAUUGCUUCCUGCUGCUCUUGCCGUCACCGUUGAUCUUGCACUGCUGCUGCUCUUGCUUGCUGCACCGCUGCGGCCUUGCUUGCUUUGCCUGCUGCCCCUUGCUAUUGUUGCUGCUUGGCCAUGGCCACCAGAUGCGCCCAUGUGUGUAACAGUGUAAGGCACAGCUGUGCCUUGGCAUUUGUGGCCGGCCCAAUCUGAUUAGGGGUAGGAUUAGUUUAGCACUAAUUUCAGUUUAGGUUUGUGAAGUAAUUAGGGACUAAUUUAGUCUAAGCUAAGUGGCCCCAUGUGUUUGGUUAGGCUAGUUAAUAAAGUAAUUAGUCUAAUAGCCAAUGACAUGUAGACCCACGGUUAGUUUAAAGAGAAUCACAUUUUAACAAAAAUCUAAGUUAAUGACACGUGGCCCCCUACACUGUUCAUUUGUUGACUAGUCACCAUUUGACUGGGUCAACCCAACCCCUCUGGCCCACUGUCAGCCUCUCUGGCUGAGUAUAAUAGUUGGUACACUUAGUAAAUUCCCGUUUUAAUACGAAUUAAUAAAAUUUUAGAAAAACUUUAAAACCUUAGAAAAUUCAUAGAAAAUAAUCUGUAACUCGGAUGAAAAAGUUUUAUACAUGAAAGUUGUUCAGAACGACGAGACGAAUCCGAAUACGCGUUCUGUUCAUCUGUCACAUAUCCCUAACAUAGAGAACCUGCAACUUUUCCCCUCCGGUCAUCUGUCUAACACAGGUCCGGAACCGGGAAAACCUUCCCGGUUGAAUUUCCCCUUCACCUUUAUCGUGUAGCACCGCGUUAGAACACCCCUAGCGCUGCUUUUGACUUGUCAUGCAUAGUAUUGCACUUGUUUGCUUUUAUAUUUACUGUUUCUUCCCCCUCUCUCUCCGGUAGACCCCAAGACCGAUGCUGCCCCUGUGAUUGACUACAUCGACGACGGCCCCUCCUUGCCAGAGCAACCAGGCAAGCCCCCCUUUGAUCAUCCCGAUAUCGCCCAUUCCAUUCUCUCAUGCUUGCAUUAGAUUUUGAUACUGUUAUUGUUUGCUCCUAUUCUGAUGCAUAGCCUGCUUUUGUAACCUGCUUAUCGUUACCUACCUGCUUAUCCUAAACUGCUUAGUAUAGGUUGGUUAGUGAUCCACCAGUGACCCCCACCUUGUCCUUCUUGCCCCUGCUUCAUCAUCGAAGACCCGAUCAACGGGAUCGAAGACCAGGCCCCGUCACCGCACAUCACUUUCCCUUUAGUUGCUCGACACUACUGGGUUACUAUAGAGUGCCGAGGGUGAGGCCUCAUCAGCACUUCUGAUGUUAACCUGUAGUGUAGCUAUUCGGUCGUGGUCAUCGAGGGUGAUUUCCUCCUUAACCACUUCCGAUACGGCUCUGUCGUGCAACCCCUCAAGUGUGAACCUCGAGGGUGGAUCCUCUAAUGUUCACCUUGAUGAUUACAUCGAGUGGAAUUCACCGGGGGUGAUUCCUCGGGUUUUCCCCUUGAUGUUUGGACACACGGAUACUUGGACUUUACAACUGUUACUUGGAAAGGCGGGUCGAUCCUGAGGGGUACCCGCGAGUGAUGUGGAGACGGGUUGACCUGGAGGGUGCCCGCGAGAUAAUUACGAGGCGUGGCCGGGCAUUCCUAGCCCUUGUCGCAAGUCCUCGAGACGGGGCAACGGGGUCACAUCUUUCGUGAGUCUCUGCUUGUUACCGCGUGCUCCUAAUCCACUACGAUUUGGAUAUUUGAUCCGAGGGGCCUCUGGCCUGAUAGCACUAACCAUCACGUGGGCAUAAUAUGGGCGUUCUGCAUCGUAUGCAUCAGCCGAAGCUUAAUAGACGUCAGCGACUGAGCGGCGCGCGCCGGGUUGGACUGGUAAGCACCUGCCUUUUUUGAGGAGGUAGCUAGGUCUGCUCACCGGCCGCCCUCGCAACGUGCAGGAGUUCCCGGGGCGAUGGCCCAUGACCCCUGGGGGCAUAGGUUUAGUCCGGCGUGCUGACCUCUCUAUUAAGCCUAGGUCGGGUUGCGGCGUAUUGUUUGGCCGAGGCCGGGCAUGACCCAGGAAAGUGUGUCCGGCCGGAGUUAAUCGAGCGUGGUGGGUAAGUUGGUGCACGCCUGCAGGGAAGAAAACAUCUAUCGAUAGCCUGUCCUAUGAUAACAGACACUUGGAGUUGUAUCCCGAUCGAUACAACUAGAACUGGAUACUUGUGAUGAGAAUUGGAUUGUGAUGAGAAAUGGAUAGUAUGGCUCUGGGAUUGCUUUCUCGCAGGGAGUCGAGAAAGGAUUUCUGGCCGAGGUUGAUAACACUACUACUACUUUACUUUAUACUACUCUUAUCUCUCUUCUGAUGCUGAAAGAUGCUUGGUGCUGCUUGAAGAUGCUAGUCUUCGAUAGGCUAGGCUUUCCCCUUCUCUUCUGGCAUUCUGCAGUUCAGUCCACAUAUACUACCCAUUUCAUUGACACCGAUGCAUAUGUAGUGUAGAUCCUUGCUUGCGAGUACUUUGGAUGAGUACUCACGGUUGCUUUGCUCCCCCUUUUCCCCUUUUCUUCUUUCUGGUUGAUGCAACCAGAUGUCGGAGCCCAGGAGCCAGAUGCCACCGUCGAUGCCUACUACUACGUGAAGACCGACGACGACCAGGAGUAGUUAGGAGGCUCCCAGGCAGGAGGCCUUGCCUUUUUGAUCGUUGUUGCUUUUGUGCUAGCCUUCUUAAGGCAAGCUUGUCUAACUCAUGUCUGUACUCAGAUAUUGUUGCUUCCGCUGACUCUUGUGUUUUCGAGCUUAUGUAUUCGAGCCCUCGAGGCCCCUGGCUUGUAAUACAAAGCUUGUAUUAUUUUAAUUUGUGUCUAGAGUCGUGUUGUGAUAUCUUCCCGUGAGUCCUUGAUCUUGAUCGUACACAUUUGCGUGUAUGAUUAGUGUACGAUUGAAUCGAGGGCGUCACAAGUAUGAAACAAUUGUUUGGCUUAUCAUCGGGGUUGUGCAUGAUGAGAGCAUUAUUGUGUGAUGAAAAUGAAGCAUGGUCAAACUAUAUGAUUUUGUAGGGAUGAGCUUUCUUUGGCUAUGCUAUUUUGAGAAGACAUAAUUGCUUAGUUAGUAUGCUUGAAGUAUUAUUAUUUUUAUGUCUAUAUUAAACUUUUAUCUUGAAUCUUUUAGAUCUGAACAUUCAUGCCACAAUAAAGAAAAUUACAUUGAGAAAUAUGUUAGGAAGCAUUCCACAUCAAAAAUUCUGUUUUUAUCAUUUACCUACUCGAGGACGAGCAUGAAUAUUAAGCUUGGGGAUGCUUGAUACGUCUCCAACGUAUCUAUAAUUUUUGAUUGUUCCAUGCUAUUAUAUAUUCUGUUUUGGAUGUUUAAUGGGCUUUAUUAUACACUUUUAUAUUAUUUUGGGACUAACCUAUUAACCCAAGGCCCAGUGCAAAUUGCUGUUUUUUCCUAUUUCAGUGUUUCGCAGAAAAGGAAUAUCAAACGGAGUCCAAACGGAAUGAAACCUUCGGGAGCGUGAUUUUUGGAACAAACGUGAUCCAGAGGACUUGGAGUGGAUGCCAAUAAACGAACGAGGAGGCCACGAGGCAGGAAGGCGCGCCUGCCCCCUGGGCACGCCCCCACCCUCGUGGCCCCCUCGUAGCUCCACCGACCUA